RNAcentral lists this long non-coding RNA (2878 nucleotides) under Ornithorhynchus anatinus (platypus). RNAcentral describes it as "lncRNA (ENSOANG00000043321.1)". The record is from RNAcentral. Lineage: Eukaryota; Metazoa; Chordata; Mammalia; Monotremata; Ornithorhynchidae.
GUGGAGUCGGGCGGGGGCUGGGGUAGAGAAUCGGGCAGGGGGGCGAGUCGCCCCCCCGCCACGCCGACUCGGGGGUCGGGGAGGAUCUUCCCAGGUCACGAUGAUCGAGUCAAGGCGCCGCCCCUCUCCCGGCCAUCGGACAGCCAGGCCGGCCUGGGCCGGGGAAGGGGGCCGAGGAGAGCGGGGGUCCCCGGGGGAGAAGCCGGGGAGAGAGGGCGGGCGGGCCAGGCCACGCCGCUAAGGGACCCGUUUAUUAUGGUGAAUAACUAAUUUCAGAAUUUAUAGUGCCGGGUUUUCAUUCCUCUGCCAUUUGUAUGGGGGAAGGAGAUGGGCGGGCGGGGCGGGGGGGGGGAGGAACACAUCUUUCUGCGUUAUUGCUUGUCUGCCAUUUGCAAAUCAUUAUUAAUUGUGGCCCCCGUGGCUGGAGCGGCGGGGCCGGGUGCGGGCCGGACGCGGGAGCAGACACACAUACCUCUUCAUCAGGACCCCAGCCGCUCGCCCCAGAGAGCCAAUUACCCCUCCCUGAUUGGGAUCAGAUAAAGAGGGAAUUUUUACAAAUUAGGGAAUAAAUAGAAUUUCCACGCGUGGAGCAGGGCGGGCUCGAGAGGAGGUAAUGAAAAACGAUACAUCACCAUCAGCCAGACAAUGCUAUUCAUAGGCUGAGGCGUUAUGCUCACUACUCAUAAUCCUGCCCCUGACAGACGCCCGCCGAGCGCACCCGGGCCCGCGCCCGGCUUCUGGGGGCCCGGUCCACCCCCCGAAUCGCCCCGGCCGCCUCCCCCGGCCCUCCGUCUCCCCCGGGCCCCCCGGCCUCUCCUGGCCUCUGCCGGGGACCCGCCGAGGGUCGCCUUCUCGGGCCGGCCCGGAGGCCGACGGGGCGAGGACGAGGCCCCCCGGCCUCCCACCUGUCGCGGCACCUGGGCAGCUGACCCUUUUGUGGGAGAGGUUGAUCUGGACAGUCCGUGGGAGAUACGCAAGUGUGGUGUGUGUCCCCGUGUCCACUUGGGGGUUGGGAACUUCUGGAAGGAAACCCUCCCAUUCGUUCACAGCACCCGGGCGAGGUGCUUUGAAACUCAAACCUGGGCCUCAAAGAGCCUCUGACCCAUCAGAGCCGGGAACCAGAGGCUAAUGAGUCGGAGAAAGUACCAGGGGGCCGGGCAAGGCCGCGGGUGCUCCGGGAGACGGAGUUCUUCUCCUUACAAACACGGCGCUCCCUUGGCUGGCCCUGAACUUUGGGGCAAAGAACCAGCGGCUGCUCACCGGGGGCCCCCCCUCUCGCCCCCGGAGGCAGUUUGCCCCGGGGUGAGCUCCUGGAGCCACUGGGGCCUUCGUCCAUCUGUCGAUAUUUACCGCCUGACUGCCAGCGGGUGCCCAGAGGGCACGAUGGCCGCCCUCUGCCGUGGUGCAGCUCGCCCGUUCUGACUCUUUUAGCGUCACUAAGGCAUUGGCCGUUGCUCCUGGGGGGUGCUCCCUCACCCGCCGGCCGGCCCGGACGAGCGCUUGGGGCCUCCCCGGGAGAGCGGGCAAGGAGAGGAUCCAGGGCUGAGGAAGGCCGGCCGGCUCACCUGAAUCGCUCACCGGCGGGCAGGCGGGCAGGCGGCCGGACGCCACAGCCUGCGGGUAGGCGGGAAGUUGGCUCAGCAGAGAGGUGGCUUCCAAACACCCGACCCUGUCCUACGCGACUCUCUGCCCGCUCCUGGCGGCAUCUGGAGUCCCAGGAGGGACUGCCCCCAAUCGGGUUCAGGUCAACGGAGCCCACCUCUGAUCGGAAAAGGAACGGAAAAAUGGUGGCCGGCCCGGGGCAGACUGACGGCUGCAAGCGGGGCACCCGACGGUGGCCGAAGGACCCGGGCCGAGUGAAAGCGAGCAGGACACCCAGGUUCUGCCCUCGAGGAGCGUGAAAACAGAAUGGCGAGGCACGGAAGGGGCGACAGACCGAACUGCCGUCAGAAACGGAGACCCGGAGAAAAAGACAUCCAAGAGUACAAAGAGCAGAGAGCCAACGGAACUGUGUGAAGAGCACGACUGGCCAGACUGAACUUAUUUUUGUCUUCUGCUUCAGAGAAACGAUGUCUUUAGAGCAAGAGAAACAAUAUAUCUGGUCCUGUGUGACACUCUCUUCAAAAAGGGGAAGACGUUACCGUGUAUCUGGUCAGAGAGGUGCUCGGAGACCGGAAGAACAAGAAACUGGAUCAACUGCUAUGACCGGGUCAGGACCAUCCAAUUUGGGGUUUGGCCUCCGAUGGAGACUACAGGUCACUUUAAUAAUGAUAAAGAUGAUGAUUACUGUGGUACUUGUGGCGGAGCUGAGAUUAAAACCCAGGUCUUCUGACUCCCGCACCCAUGCCCCUUCAACUAGGUCAUGUUGCUUAUUAUUUCUUAUUUUUUGAUGGUAUUUGUUAGGCGCUUACUACGUGCCAGGAUCGUGCCAAGCUCUGGGGUAGACACAAGCUAAUCGGGUCCCUGUUCCAUGUGGGGCUUAACCCCUAUUUUACAGAUGAGGUAACUGAGGCACAGAGAAGUUAAGUGACUCACCCAAGGUCACACGGAAGAGAAGUGGUGGAGCCGGGAUUGGAACCCAGAUCCUCUUGACUCCCAGGCCUGGGUUCUACCUUUGAGCAUGGAACCCGUCUACUAACUCUGUUACGUUGUACUUUCCCAAGAGUUUAGCACGGUGCUCGGCACACAGUAAGUGCCCAAUAGAUGGCAUUGAUGGAUUGACUGAGAGGUGACACUCUCUCACUGGGAGUUCUAUAGCGUGGACAGCAGCGUUACCUAUUGGAAAGAGCCCCGGCCUGGGAGUCGGGGAACCCGGGUUCUGAUCCCGGCUCUGUUAUUUGCUGUGUGACCUGGGGCGAGUCAUUUAGCUUCUCUGUGC